UGUAUUUAAAUGAAAUGAAAUAACAAUAAAUAAAUAAAUUAAAAUAGAAAAUGAUAAUCUAUCCUCUAUGAUGAUGAUAGGUACAGUGAAGUUGUCAUCUGGUUCUAGAGAUUCGUGAGCGAAUCAAGGUAAGUAACCCUGGCAUUGAUCUUAUUAAUUUAAAAAUUACUGUUUAAUUGUAAUAAUAAAAUAAUAAAAAAUAUAUUUGUUAUGAUAUAUUUUUCUAAAAGUAGGAUCAAGCAUAUGAUUGCAUGUGAUUCAUGAGUUUGAUUAAAUUGCAUCCUUCAUAAAUAUUUGAGUAUGAAUUAUGGUUAUGAUAAAUUGCAUGAAAAUAAGAUUUGUAGCAUGAUCAUGAAUUUUAUACAUUACGAUGAAUUAUGGUUAUGAUAAAUUACAUGAAAAUGAGAUUUGUGGCAUGAUCAUGAAUUUUAUACAUUACGAUGCCAUUUGUCAUUUUUCAACCUAUGUAUGAAAGUAUGAUUUAUGAAAAAGAAUAAUGAUUUAUGAACUCUCAGAUAGCUAUGCCCACCUCUAGAAAUAGAGGUCAGUCGACCCCCCCUGGAGCUAGCAUCCAACGAAUAUGGCCCUCUGCCAACGGGUUAAAGUUGGUAACGAAUAUGAAUAAGUUAUAAAACUCGUCGACUACGAAUACGAGCCCUGUCACGGGAUUAUAGUGACCAUAGCAGCACAUCCGUCUGAG
This 700-nucleotide long non-coding RNA is filed under the name Phoenix dactylifera (date palm). Its description in RNAcentral is "long non-coding RNA (PDAC_LNC018786)". Lineage: Eukaryota; Viridiplantae; Streptophyta; Magnoliopsida; Arecales; Arecaceae. The record is from RNAcentral.